UGCGAAGCGAAGCAGCGAUGUGAAGCAAAUCGCACCAAAGCCGGUCCCAGUUCGGAUAAGAGGCUGAAACUCGCCUCUUUGAAGUCGGAAUCGCUAGUAAUCGCAGAUCAGCAUGUUGCGGUGAAUACGUUUCCUGGUCUUGUACACACCGCCCGUCAAACCAUGAGAGUCGCCAACACCCGAAGUCCGCUUUGCGGCCUAAGGUGGGGGGAUGAUUGGGGUUAAGUCGUAACAAGGUAAC
RNAcentral lists this ribosomal RNA (241 nucleotides) under uncultured bacterium. Its description in RNAcentral is "partial 16S ribosomal RNA". It matches the Rfam family "Bacterial small subunit ribosomal RNA", at positions 1243 to 1500 of the family's 1533-position model. The record is from RNAcentral.